This 70-nucleotide transfer RNA is filed under the name Bos taurus (domestic cattle). It matches the Rfam family "tRNA". From Rfam's summary of the family: Transfer RNA (tRNA) molecules are approximately 80 nucleotides in length. Their secondary structure includes four short double-helical elements and three loops (D, anti-codon, and T loops). Lineage: Eukaryota; Metazoa; Chordata; Mammalia; Artiodactyla; Bovidae. The record is from Rfam by way of RNAcentral. RNAcentral also lists the same sequence under 5 other names.
CCUGGUGGCUCAGAGGUUAAAGAGUCUGCCUGCAGUGCAGAUAGACCUGGGUUCGAUCCCAGGGUCAGGA